UACGGAGGGUGCAAGCGUUAUCCGGAUUCACUGGGUUUAAAGGGUGCGUAGGUGGGUUGGUAAGUCAGUGGUGAAAUCUCCGGGCUUAACUCGGAAACUGCCGUUGAUACUAUCAAUCUUGAAUGUUGUGGAGGUAAGCGGAAUAUGUCAUGUAGCGGUGAAAUGCUUAGAUAUGACAUAGAACACCGAUAGCGAAGGCAGCUUGCUACACAAUAAUUGACACUGAGGCACGAAAGCGUGGGGAUCAA
This 248-nucleotide ribosomal RNA is filed under the name uncultured bacterium. RNAcentral's name for it is "partial 16S ribosomal RNA". It matches the Rfam family "Bacterial small subunit ribosomal RNA", at positions 524 to 771 of the family's 1533-position model. The record is from RNAcentral.